AUUGAACGCUGGCGGCAGGCUUAACACAUGCAAGUCGAGCGGGGUGAUGGUGCUUGCACUAUCACUUAGCGGCGGACGGGUGAGUAAUGCUUAGGAAUCUGCCUAUUAGUGGGGGACAACAUCUCGAAAGGGAUGCUAAUACCGCAUACGUCCUACGGGAGAAAGCAGGGGAUCACUUGUGACCUUGCGCUAAUAGAUGAGCCUAAGUCGGAUUAGCUAGUUGGUGGGGUAAAGGCCUACCAAGGCGACGAUCUGUAGCGGGUCUGAGAGGAUGAUCCGCCACACUGGGACUGGGCAACGGCCCAGGCGCCUACGGGAGGCAGCAGUGGGGAAUAUUGGACAAUGGGGGGAACCCUGAUCCAGCCAUGCCGCGGGUGUGAAGAAGGCCUUAUGGUUGUAAAGCACUUUAAGCGAGGAGGAGGCUCUUUUGGUUAAUACCCAAGAUGAGUGGACGUUACUCGCAGAAUAAGCACCGGCUAACUCUGUGCCAGCAGCCGCCGUAA
Molecule: ribosomal RNA, 503 nt
Filed under: uncultured bacterium
Lineage: Bacteria
Description: partial 16S ribosomal RNA
Rfam family: Bacterial small subunit ribosomal RNA
Source: RNAcentral